GGCCCGCACAAGCGGUGGAGUAUGUGGUUUAAUUCGACGCAACGCGCAGAACCUUACCAGCCUUGACAUCCCUGGACAACCGUAGAGAUACGGCUUUCUCUCGCAAGAGAGACCGGUGACAGGUGCUGCAUGGCUGUCGUCAGCUCGUGUCGUGAGAUGUUCGGUUAAGUCCGGUAACGAGCGCAACCCCUGUCCUUAGUUGCCAUCAUUCAGUUGGGCACUCUAAGGAGACUCCCGGUGUUAAACCGGCGGAAGAUGGGGAUGACGUCAAGUCCUCAUGGCCCUUACGGCUGGGGCUACACACGUACUACAAUGGCAACUACAAAGAGCAGCAAAGUCGCGAGGCCAAGCAAAUCUCAAAAAGUUGACCUCAGUUCGGAUUGGAGUCUGCAACUCGACUCCAUGAAGUUGGAAUCGCUAGUAAUCG
RNAcentral lists this ribosomal RNA (427 nucleotides) under uncultured bacterium. RNAcentral describes it as "bacterial SSU rRNA". It matches the Rfam family "Bacterial small subunit ribosomal RNA", at positions 918 to 1344 of the family's 1533-position model. The record is from RNAcentral.